GUCCGGGUAGCUGUAGUUUACUUGAGAAAAAACACAGGGUGUUCUUCGGCUUAGUUAUUUUUCUUUUAAAAAAAGUUCAAAUUUAGGAUCGGACACCCUACCCCACUGCCUUACGCAAAAGUUAAUAACAAAUGGUGUACGACAACAAUUUUGUCAGCACAAGGUGCAAAGGGAAGCUGGGUAGCUUAUUUCUACUUGAGAAAUAAUCCAGGGUGUUCUUCGGCUUAGUUAUUUU
Molecule: long non-coding RNA, 235 nt
Filed under: Mytilus galloprovincialis (Mediterranean mussel)
Lineage: Eukaryota; Metazoa; Mollusca; Bivalvia; Mytilida; Mytilidae
Source: RNAcentral